CAGCCCAGUGAAACCCAAUGAACUGACACUGGCUCCUCCAAGCCACACCCAGCCCCAGGUCCCAGCUAAUGCCAAGCUGUGUACAGCAAGGAUAAAGCAGAAGCACCCGCCCUGGUGGCAUGUCACCCAGCUGGGCAAAGGUCCAUACACACCAAAGAAACAGCAAUGAGCUGCCAGGGGAUGGGAGAAGGCGCUCUGAAGACAGAUGCGGAGGCUGCAGAGCCUGGGGAAAGCAGCCCAGUGGAUCCAGAAGCAGAAGACACGACCCCUUGAAGAUAGGCUCCCAAGGACGGGAAGAGUGAGCUGCCUCUGCAGAGCCUGGGUCCCGAGAGCAGCCACAUUUUGGGGCUCAAACACGUUGUAAAAAUAGGAUUGUUCAUCGCAAAGCAGAAGCGCCGGGCAGUGGCACAGGAUUUAAUGCAGAAUCCCGGCUCCUAAUGUGGCCAGCCUCUUCCACUCCACUCCUGCCCACUUCCUCUGAUGCACCCCACCCCUCCCAGGCUGCCUAGCAGCCUUGGCACCUGCUGCUCCCUCUUCCAGACUGUUCUUCCCCCAGGAGCUGCUGGUGGCUGGCUCCAUCCCACAGUCACUCUUUGCCUCCCCUGACCCCCACACUCCAUGCCCCUCUUGCAGUAUUGUUUCAUAGCACUUGGCCUAAGGCCCUGAAAA
Molecule: long non-coding RNA, 669 nt
Organism: Piliocolobus tephrosceles (Ugandan red Colobus)
Lineage: Eukaryota; Metazoa; Chordata; Mammalia; Primates; Cercopithecidae
Exons: 2
Source: RefSeq, a predicted model, not a curated record